ACCAAGGCGACGACGGGUAGCCGGCCUGAGAGGGCGACCGGCCACACUGGGACUGAGACACGGCCCAGACUCCUACGGGAGGCAGCAGUGGGGAAUAUUGCGCAAUGGGCGGAAGCCUGACGCAGCGACGCCGCGUGGGGGAUGAAGGCCUUCGGGUUGUAAACCCCUUUCACCAGGAGCGAAUCCAGACGGUACCUGGGGAAGAAGCGCCGGCUAACUACGUGCCAGCAGCCGCGGUAAUACGUAGGGCGCAAGCGUUGUCCGGAAUUAUUGGGCGUAAAGAGCUCGUAGGCGGCCUGUCGCGUCCGCUGUGAAAUCCUGGGGCUUAACCCCGGGCGUGCAGUGGAUACGGGCUGGCUAGAGGCAGGCAGGGGAGAACGGAAUUCCCGGUGUAGCGGUGAAAUGCGCAGAUAUCGGGAGGAACACCGGUGGCGAAGGCGGUUCUCUGGGCCUGUUCUGACGCUGAGGAGCGAAAGCGUGGGGAGCGAACAGGAUUAGAUACCCUGGUAGUCCACGCCGUAAACGUUGGGCGCUAGGUGUGGGUCCCUUCCACGGGCUCUGUGCCGCAGCUAACGCAUUAAGCG
This 584-nucleotide ribosomal RNA is filed under the name uncultured bacterium. RNAcentral describes it as "bacterial SSU rRNA". It matches the Rfam family "Bacterial small subunit ribosomal RNA", at positions 267 to 866 of the family's 1533-position model. The record is from RNAcentral.